Long non-coding RNA from Callorhinchus milii (elephant shark), 1183 nucleotides. RefSeq lists it as uncharacterized. Lineage: Eukaryota; Metazoa; Chordata; Chondrichthyes; Chimaeriformes; Callorhinchidae. The transcript is spliced from 2 exons. The record is from RefSeq and is a predicted model, not a curated record.
CCGUAUCAAAAUGCAAGCAUUAUUGUUAUAAUUAUGGUUUCACUUAUUAGAGAUUUGAUGUUAAAAGGGGAAUUUAAUAAUAACACUCAUUGAUUUUUUUUCAAACUGCAACGAAAUCUCUCCAGGAUGUUGCUGGUAACAACCAUCCAGCCAGUAAGAACUGAAACGAGAUUUUUUUUUAGGAGAUGUUGGGGGUGGGUUGGAUCAGCCGGGUGUCUAUUACAUGUGGAAACCCUUCACCAUUCUUAUGGGUAUCCAAAUUAAACUAAGAUUUCCAAAGCGUGAGAUGGAACACACAGCCUUUUAACUCAGAGGCCAGAGGACGAGAGAUUGAACAACAAGUUUACACCGGUUUAAUCCAAUAAACUGACUUUCUCUUUCAAUUUUGCGCUCUUAAGAGUAUUUUUUAUGAGAAAUCCCCGGUUUCAAUUAACUUUGCUAUAAAACGGAAGCUCAUCCGCAGCCUGUAACACAAGGAGAAAGAGAGGGCGAGAGAAAUAGACAGAAGAAUGACGGCACUGCAGCGCACAGUCAAAUAUGAUCUGUUUCAGGAGGUGGGAGUGUCCCUGCCGAGGGGUUCUGAAGCUCAAAAGCCUCAGGAGGGGGUGAAGUUGACGGCCGGUCAUCUCCACCCUGGGGUGUUUGACCCGCUGGCCUCCAACGCUCGUAGAACUCCCCCGAACAUCACUGUCUAUGUGCAGAACUGCGAGGCGAAGCAGAGCGCUCUGCAGAUUCCUAGGCAGGUGAGAGUCUCCGAGCUGAAGGAGGCGAUAUCCCGGUAAAUGGGAAUCCCGGUGCAAUCCCAGAUCCUCUACUGCAAAAGGGAGCUGAGGGAGAUCGAGAAGCUUUGCGACAUUACCAUGAAGGAUAGCAUUCGUGUCAUUUUGGUGCAAAAGUGCCGCGGAGGCUGAUGUGUGGAGACUGAAUUUCCCUCUUCCCCAUCCUGCUGGUACUCGCUUUCCCCACACUGGAGAUCUCUCCAGUAAUCCUAUUCCCCAUCUCUCUCUCUCUCUCUCUGCUUGCGCUCCCUGCCCCACAAUGCAGCUGUAUUCUCCAGCUCAUUCCGUCUGCCACUCAUGGUUUUGCUAAUGAUGCCGAUAAUAAAUUGUGUUUGACGCUUUUGCUGUGUGGAGAUUUUCUCGAUGCAUUUUCAGCAAGCAAUAAAUAGGUGCAAAUAAAAGAU